Molecule: long non-coding RNA, 3731 nt
Organism: Thunnus maccoyii (southern bluefin tuna)
Lineage: Eukaryota; Metazoa; Chordata; Actinopteri; Scombriformes; Scombridae
Exons: 5
Source: RefSeq, a predicted model, not a curated record
UGGAAUUCGAGUAUCUGAUGGAUUAGUUUGCACAACACAAGGUCAAGGAAGAAACUCUCCUAAAGACCGACAGAGUGGAUAUGAACAGCAGAGGGUCUGCUGUCAAGGUUGGAGGUGUUUUCAUCUACUGUAGCACAGACUGCUUCUGUCGAUACAAUCAAGAGCUACAACAAGAGCUCAAUUGUGCCAUAGCAGGCAGAAGCGAUCAGAAUGGCAUGACAGAGGGAAAUGCCUAAGACAGGCCUGGAUAAACAUGCUGAGGCAAGAUACUGACACCCACACUCUGUUUCUCUCUUGCUUGUACACACUGUCUCGUCCGUCUUCUCUACUUUUCAAUUUUCCCCCUUAAUCCCCCUUAUUACUGACAUUACCACCGGUGUUUACUACAAAAGUCUGGCCACUUGUGAUUUUAAAACACAGAAAAAGGCAAUCUAAACACUCGCAACAAAUUUUUUAACUUGAGACGGACACUAAAUCUCAUAGUAUUCAGAUAUGGCAUGCAUGUAUACGAGUUCGCGUUCCUGCUUGACAGUUUGUAUACAGAAUUAGGAGGUAAAGUGAGUUUAACUGACAGUCUGUUGAGAUAAACGGUAACGAGGAGAGGUUUGCAGAGAGCAGGGUGGUCAUAACACAUGCAAUCAGUUUUGACAGAGCAGGGAUGUGGUUAAUCUUUCCAUGCCUCUAUCACCACUCUAUCUCAGUGGGUACUGUGAUGUGCAUGCUUGGCAAUACCGGCGACUGACCCAGAUAGUGAAUACAGCCAUUCUUUCCCCCAACAGCAUCUCACGACUUUCCCUCCUUUGGAUUCCAUUUAAGUUCCAGACUCCCUUUAACAAAAACUGGACUGUACACUGUCAGUCAAAAAAAAAAUGGCAUCAGGGCUGAUUCUUUUGCUACAGGCCAUGUUUACCACUUUUCCUUUCCUUAUUGCAACUAGCCCAAUCUCUUCUCUGGAUGCUCUUCUUGUCAGACAUACAGUAUUGUGCAUAAAUGCAGCGUGUCUCUCCAUCAUGCUCCCAAAUAUAACAUAAAGUGCGCACUAUCCCUUAACAACCCCGCUGAAAGGAGCUUGGUCUGAGAGUAAUAUCUUCUGACUGCUUGGCACAAAAUAUGUUUCAGGAGAGUAGGAAAUCGCUGCACGUUUGUAUAAAAAUGCUUAUUUUUUCAGAGGGAAGAAAAGUACUGGUGUAUCUUCUCAGUAGGGAAGCUCUGACAGGUUUCUGUUAGGCACAAAACAGCGGGAGAGAAGAAAAAGGGGUUUUGCGUGUGUGCAUGUAAAAACCUGUAUGCACUAUAUGCACUUUAAGCUCCGCAUGAAUCUAUGUUGGAAUCUCAAAAAAGAAAAAAUCCAUCGUUCUCCUUGAAACUCGGCUAACAUUUGUUAGAUUUUUGAUUGAAAACAACAAGCCUGACAGACUACUGGUAGCACCGAUUCCUCAUUUUGCCCCUCAGGUUCAGAAAUCUCCUUAACAUAUCUCUGCUGGACUUGAUUCCUCAGUCACGGAACAAUGCCUCUUGGCAUUCUGGGAUGCAGCAGAGGCGCACACAGCCCAAAUGAACAGUUAUAUGAAAACACUUUUACGAUUGAUCAGCGCCUGAGGCAAAACUCCCAUUCAAGAUUUUCCUCUCAGCAGUAAUGUUUCAGGAGACAGACUCCAACCUAAGUAUAACCAUGGAAGAAAACAAAUAUCUUCUGGAACAGUGGUUCUCAAAUUUGUUUGGGUACUGGACCCCUUGUAUAAUUUGAGAGGUCCUGAGAACCCCUUGCCACCACGUGGAAAAAAAAAAACCCCAAAACAAUUUGACAUAAAACAGAAAUUGCAUUAGGCUCAUUGAAGGGAAAACCUACAUUGCUUUAUUGGAACACCUUGCAAGUCAAGAGUUUUCCACAAAAGAGGCCUGCCUCUAAUACAAACCUGCUACCUUCUGCAGCUGAGGUAAACAAAGGCCCCGGUCACUAUUUGAGGAAACACGGUGUGUCUGUAAAGGCCAUAGAAUCUUUUUAAAAUAUACAUUUUAUUAUUUCCUGAAACUUCUAAGCAUUGCCCACCUGUUUGCCUGCUGUUUGAGUUUACUUUACACUUUGAUAUUAUCUCCUUGACUUGGCAACACAACACAGAAGUAUCCAGUAUAGGCUUAGAGGUCUAGUGAUAUAAGGGGGUGCAGUACAGUACAUUAUGUGCAGCACAGGGAGCAGGAACAAUUCUCCCCUACAUCUUAACAUGAACUCCUUGUUUUGUUUACAACUCUAUAGUUGAUUUUAUGUAUGGAGGGUGUCCAAGUAUACACUCUAGACUGCAACUUCUGAUUUGGGGCUUCACCAGCAGCCCGAGACUAUGACCAGAAGGCAUGCAGGAGACACGGAAAGCACAGAUGGGUCUUGUAGCAGAAGCCCGGGUUUCACAGGCCUGAGCCAGGGGAGGGAGUAAUCCAUCAGGCCAAGGCACACUGUUGCCUAGGGGGGCCAGUCACUGAUCCUAUAAGACUGAUUGGGCCUCUGUGGGGGGCCAGACCCCCUGACUAGACUGACAUCAGUGUCUGGCUUGCUCCACUGAGGUUUGAUCUGAACUGGACUGAGCCAAAGCAGUGACCUGCUUCCGUUUGGAUACUGUGGAGGGAGCUAUCUAGAUCACAGAUAAUAUUCUGCAAAAACAUGUUGUAUGAAGUCAGGAAAAAAAAUGCUGCCUAAACUUUAGAUCCAUAUUUACAAUCUUAAAUAAAACAAAUUCCAAAAACAAAUAUCAAAAUAGGUCAUCCUUCUUCAAUAAAGAAUUAAUAUCCCCUGUCUAUAUAUUUAGCCUAAUGUCAACUGUGGAACUGAUAUAACUCUAUUACUAUAAUUACAUGGCACUGUUGUUAAUACAAUGUAAAACUUUUGAUGAAGUGAUAAGAAUCUAAUUACUUUAUCCUACACUCAUCUGAGUUGAAGAGGUCAGAGACGGCAUCAGCCAGACGAGCGGAUGGAACCUGCAGGAGCCAAGGCAAGCCGCAUGAUUGACAGAGCGCACGGAGAGUGGUGGUGGAGAUCAUAGAAGGCCCUGCAAGCGAGCAGCGUUACGCUUUUCCUCCAUGCCAUCACCAUCAGACCCAUUUGGCCAUGUGAAGAUGCUCCCUUCUGUUCGCAUGGGGGGGUACAGGGGAGAGAAGUAAAGGUCCACUUGUGACAAGCCUAGUGGGAAUAGCAACAUCUGGUGGACCGGCUGCUCCUCUGGUUAACAUGCUCCUCCUCAGUGGCCCCCGACGACACACACCCUGGUAGCGCAUGCACACACAUGCACAGGUACAUGCAGAUCCAUACACAUGCAUAUGGACAACAACAAAGUCAGGUGCAUGUACAUAUGCACGCAUGUGUGCAAAACACACACAAGCACAGUUUCCCACCAUAGUUAUUCUUGUCAUAUACUUUUAAAGUAAAUCCACAUUCUGUUCAUCUUGUGUAAAUAAUGGGCCGUCGUGUCAACAGACUCUGCAUCAUUAUUACACUGGAGUGAGGUAUAAAUAGAAAGCCUAUCAUUCAUGGAUUGAUGCUAAAGAGCAACUAUGUCCAAUUUGCACCAGAUGCUCUUCUGAGCCGAGUUAAGCUUGCAUUAUUGCUGAUGGAAAAUGUCAUGUUACUGGCAAGGUGAACCCUCUCCACUCCAACCCCUGUUCUUGAUGUAGCUUUGUAUGGAUUUGUGCUGGCUCACUCUCAUAUCCAUCCUGUAAUUGACUAAAUAAAGAGCUGCACCUUA